This 220-nucleotide long non-coding RNA is filed under the name Olea europaea (common olive). RNAcentral's name for it is "long non-coding RNA (OEUR_LNC007764)". The record is from RNAcentral. Lineage: Eukaryota; Viridiplantae; Streptophyta; Magnoliopsida; Lamiales; Oleaceae.
UGUCAAUCAGGGACGACGAGUGUGAAUUGACGAUAAAUUAAAAGGGUGUAUUAAUUUAUCAAUUUUUGAUUAGAUCAAAAAAUAUUUCACGACGUUAGGCAUCGUGGUCAGGAACCUAAUGGGUCGCACACAAAAGAGAAUUGGAAGAUUGCAAAUUGUCAAUUGGUUAAUUUAACAAUCGUUGGAGAAAUUAAUUAAUUGAAUUUGUUAUUUAUAAUCC